CAAGUCGAACGGCAGCGCGGGGCAACCUGGCGGCGAGUGGCGAACGGGUGAGUAAUAUAUCGGAACGUACCCUGGAGUGGGGGAUAACGUAGCGAAAGUUACGCUAAUACCGCAUACGAUCUAAGGAUGAAAGUGGGGGAUCGCAAGACCUCAUGCUCCUGGAGCGGCCGAUAUCUGAUUAGCUAGUUGGUGGGGUAAAGGCCCACCAAGGCAUCGAUCAGUAGCUGGUCUGAGAGGACGACCAGCCACACUGGAACUGAGACACGGUCCAGACUCCUACGGGAGGCAGCAGUGGGGAAUUUUGGACAAUGGGCGCAAGCCUGAUCCAGCAAUGCCGCGUGAGUGAAGAAGGCCUUCGGGUUGUAAAGCUCUUUUGUCAGGGAAGAAACGGUGCUUUCUAAUACAGAGCGCUAAUGACGGUACCUGAAGAAUAAGCACCGGCUAACUACGUGCCAGCAGCCGCGGUAAUACGUAGGGUGCAAGCGUUAAUCGGAAUUACUGGGCGUAAAGCGUGCGCAGGCGGUUUUGUAAGUCUGUCGUGAAAUCCCCGGGCUCAACCUGGGAAUGGCGAUGGAGACUGCAAGGCUAGAGUUUGGCAGAGGGGGGUAGAAUUCCACGUGUAGCAGUGAAAUGCGUAGAUAUGUGGAGGAACACCGAUGGCGAAGGCAGCCCCCUGGGUCAAAACUGACGCUCAUGCACGAAAGCGUGGGGAGCAAACAGGAUUAGAUACCCUGGUAGUCCACGCCCUAAACGAUGUCUACUAGUUUGUCGGGUCUUAAUUGACUUGGUAACGCA
This 795-nucleotide ribosomal RNA is filed under the name uncultured Duganella sp. Its description in RNAcentral is "bacterial SSU rRNA". It matches the Rfam family "Bacterial small subunit ribosomal RNA", at positions 58 to 850 of the family's 1533-position model. Lineage: Bacteria; Pseudomonadati; Pseudomonadota; Betaproteobacteria; Burkholderiales; Oxalobacteraceae. The record is from RNAcentral.